CCUACGGGAGGCAGCAGUGGGGAAUAUUGCACAAUGGGGGAAACCCUGAUGCAGCGACGCCGCGUGAGUGAAGAAGUAUUUCGGUACGUAAAGCUCUAUCAGCAGGGAAGAAAAUGACGGUACCUGACUAAGAAGCCCCGGCUAACUACGUGCCAGCCGCCGCGGUAAUACGUAGGGGGCAAGCGUUAUCCGGAUUUACUGGGUGUAAAGGGAGCGUAGACGGCAGCGCAAGUCUGGAGUGAAAUCCCAUGGCUUAACCAUGGAACUGCUUUGGAAACUGUGCAGCUAGAGUGCAGGAGAGGUAAGCGGAAUUCCUAGUGUAGCGGUGAAAUGCGUAGAUAUUAGGAGGAACACCAGUGGCGAAAGCGGCUUACUGGACUGUAACUGACGUUGAGGCUCGAAAGCGUGGGGAGCAAACAGGAUUAGAUACCCCGGUAGUC
Molecule: ribosomal RNA, 440 nt
Filed under: uncultured bacterium
Lineage: Bacteria
Description: partial 16S ribosomal RNA
Rfam family: Bacterial small subunit ribosomal RNA
Source: RNAcentral